UACGGGGGGGGCAAGCGUUGUUCGGAAUUACUGGGCGUAAAGGGCUCGUAGGUGGCCAACUAAGUCAGACGUGAAAUCCCUCGGCUUAACCGGGGAACUGCGUCUGAUACUGGAUGGCUUGAGUUCGGGAGAGGGAUGCGGAAUUCCAGGUGUAACGGUGAAAUGCGUAGAUAUCUGGAGGAACACCGGUGGCGAAGGCGGCAUCCUGGACCGACACUGACACUGAGGAGCGAAAGCCAGGGGAGCAAACGGG
Molecule: ribosomal RNA, 253 nt
Filed under: uncultured bacterium
Lineage: Bacteria
Description: partial 16S ribosomal RNA
Rfam family: Bacterial small subunit ribosomal RNA
Source: RNAcentral